This 1004-nucleotide long non-coding RNA is filed under the name Pan troglodytes (chimpanzee). Its description in RNAcentral is "long non-coding RNA NONPTRT013967". The record is from RNAcentral. Lineage: Eukaryota; Metazoa; Chordata; Mammalia; Primates; Hominidae.
AGCUGAGGGAGCCGGCUCCGGCCUUGGCCAGCCCAGAAAGGGCUGAAGGGCUCCUCAAGUGCCGCCAAAGUGGGAGCCCAGGCAGAGGAGGCGUCGAGAGCGAGUGAGGGCUGUGAGGACCGCCAGCACUCUGUCACCUCUCACUAUUACCAGUUCUGUUCCUUUGCUGCUUCUUCUGGUUGUCCAAUUCAACCAGCAUUGUUUUAUCUUUCUUUCUUGUCACAUAUAAUAUUUCAUAUCCUGUUUCUAAUCUGGAUUCGUCUUUCUCUCUACUUGGCCCUUGGGUUGCAGCCCCAUGUCUCUCCUGGCCGGAGGCACCAAGACCUGGUGUCUGUCCCAGGAAAGUUAACCAGCUGGUCCACUUGCCUAUUUACCACCUUGGAUUUUGAGGCCAGGUGACUGGUGAAGGAGCCAGGAUUGAUUUAAAGCAUAAGCUGAGUGAUAUCACUGCAACAAAUAGUUACUAAGUGACCCAUUUACAUGGUGGAGAAUGUUGAUUCUGUGAGAAGGUCAAAUCUAUCAGCUCAUUGGCUACAACAACAUUGAUGCAUUUUUUGCGCAAAGAUGGAGGCCUCCCUUUGUCUUCGCCAAAGCCAGUAGGAAUGUAAACUACAUGAGAGCAGAAACCUUGCUUGUCUCCAUCACAGUGCCUGGAACAGUGCCUGGGAAGUGGUGGUGGGUGCAGCACAAUCAAUAUUUGUGGAAUGAAUUGUUAUCGUUCAGCCCAGCAUGGUCAGUGGUUGUCAAAGGCGACAAUGCAUCGGUAUUGUCUGAAGAACUUUUCAAAUACCUGCUCCUUUCUAGGAUCCAGACACAGGAUAAGAAAUAUGCAGUCAUUGAAGAAAAGUCAGAAAAUAUAUAAAAGCAAAAAGAAGGAAGCAACAACAUUGGAAAUGGCCUGAAGCCACAGAUACAUGUGGGGAAUGACCUUUCCAUGCCUGUGUGGUUUAUUGGGAUUAUUGCUACUUCUUGUACAAAGAAGAUUUGAGUUAGCUGAUGAGGAU